UCCUCCGCUUAUUGAUAUGCUUAAGUUCAGCGGGUAUCCCUACCUGAUCCGAGGUCUGUCUCUUUGUGGUAUCCCAACACCCGAGCCCGAAACAGGCUGGUUGAGGGAGGAGACGCCGGUCGGGGGAGGUUUGGCGACGGCAUGAUGAACCUUUGCUCGCUUCACCUCCACCAAGGGCUUCGCUUUUGAAUUUCAGGCCCGCAUCCAAUCCCCCCAGCUCGGGGGGAAGCUCGCGAGGCCCAACUCCGGACCCCACCGCGGGAGUCCGACAGGACGCAUGACGCUCGGACAGGCAUGCCCCCAGGGUGACCCGAGGGGCGCAAUGUGCGUUCAAAGGUUCGAUGGUUCACUGAAUUCUGCAAUUCACAUUACUUAUCGCAUUUCGCUGCGUUCUUCAUCGAUGCCAGAGCCAAGAGAUCCGUUGUUGAAAGUUUUGCGUCGGUUGACGUAUCGCCCCAAAACGGGGCUCGGACUGCACCGUAUGAAGGGGUUGAAUUGGGCCACCGGCGGGUGCUCGGGCCCCACCGAGGCAACGUGGAAGGUUCAACAUCAGGGUUGAGGUAGGAAGGGUCCAGGGGAGGCUCGGGCCGAUCCAAAGGACCGUGAGGGGAUCCGCCUGGAACCCUCGACCGGUAAUGAUCCUUCCGCAGGUUCACCUACGGAA
Molecule: unclassified non-coding RNA, 664 nt
Filed under: uncultured Ascomycota
Lineage: Eukaryota; Fungi; Ascomycota
Description: sequence contains ITS1, 5.8S rRNA gene, ITS2, 28S rRNA gene
Source: RNAcentral